This 1391-nucleotide ribosomal RNA is filed under the name uncultured bacterium. Its description in RNAcentral is "partial 16S ribosomal RNA". It matches the Rfam family "Bacterial small subunit ribosomal RNA". The record is from RNAcentral.
AGAGUUUGAUCCUGGCUCAGGAUGAACGCUGGCGGCGUGCCUAACACAUGCAAGUCGAACGGAGUGCCAAAGACAAACAUUUCGGUGGGCGACUUUGGUAACUGAGUGGCGGACGGGUGAGUAACGCGUGGACAACCUGCCGUGUACAGGGGGAUAACAGCCGGAAACGGCUGCUAAUACCGCAUAUGCGCACAGUGCCGCAUGGCACAGGGCGGAAAACGAUGGUGGUACACGAUGGGUCCGCGUCUGAUUAGAUAGUUGGCGGGGUAACGGCCCACCAAGUCGACGAUCAGUAGCCGGCCUGAGAGGGCGGACGGCCACACUGGGACUGAGACACGGCCCAGACUCCUGCGGGAGGCAGCAGUGGGGAAUAUUGCACAAUGGGGGGAACCCUGAUGCAGCGACGCCGCGUGAAGGAAGAAGUAUUUCGGUAUGUAAACUUCUAUCAGCAGGGAAGAAAAAGGACGGUACCUGACUAAGAAGCCCCGGCUAACUACGUGCCAGCAGCCGCGGUAAUACGUAGGGGGCAAGCGUUAUCCGGAUUUACUGGGUGUAAAGGGAGCGUAGACGGCCAUGCAAGUCUGAUGUGAAAACCCGGGGCUCAACCCCGGGACUGCAUUGGAAACUGUGCGGCUGGAGUGUCGGAGAGGCAAGUGGAAUUCCUAGUGUAGCGGUGAAAUGCGUAGAUAUUAGGAGGAACACCAGUGGCGAAGGCGGCUUGCUGGACGACGACUGACGUUGAGGCUCGAAAGCGUGGGGAGCAAACAAGGUUAGAUACCCUGGUAGCCCACGCCGUAAACGAUGACUGCUAGGUGUCGGGGGGCAUGGCCCCUAGGUGCCGCAGCUAACGCAAUAAGUAUCCCCCCUGGGGAGUACGGCCGCAAGGCUAAAACUCAAAGGAAUUGACGGGGGCCCGCACAAGCGGAGGAACACGUGGUUUAAUUCGAUGAUACGCGAGGAACCUUACCCGGGCUUGAUCUGCAGGAGAACGAUUCAGAGAUGAUGAGGUCCUUCGGGACUCCUGCGGAGGUGCUGCAUGGUUGUCGUCAGCUCGUGCCGUGAGGUGUCGGCUUAAGUGCCAUAACGAGCGCAACCCCUGCUUUCAGUUGCCAUCGGGUAAUGCCGGGCACUCUGGAGGGACUGCCGCCGCAAGGUGGAGGAAGGUGGGGAUGACGUCAAAUCAGCACGGCCCUUACGUCCGGGGCUACACACGUGUUACAAUGGGGGGUACAGAGGGCCGGCCGCCGGCGACGUCGGUCAAAUCCCGAAAGCCUCUCCCAGUUCGGACUGGAGUCUGCAACCCGACUCCACGAAGCUGGAUUCGCUAGUAAUCGCGCAUCAGCCAUGGCGCGGUGAAUACGUUCCCUGGGCCUUGCACUCACCGCCCGUCA